GAUGAACGCUGGCGGCGUGCCUAAUACAUGCAAGUCGAACGAAACUUCUUUAUCACCGAGUGCUUGCACUCACCGAUAAAGAGUUGAGUGGCGAACGGGUGAGUAACACGUGGGCAACCUGCCCAAAAGAGGGGGAUAACACUUGGAAACAGGUGCUAAUACCGCAUAACCAUAGUUACCGCAUGGUAACUAUGUAAAAGGUGGCUAUACUACCGCUUUUGGAUGGGCCCGCGGCGCAUUAGCUAGUUGGUAGGGUAAAGGCUUACCAAGGCAAUGAUGCGUAGCCGAAUUGAGAGGUUGAUCGGCCACAUUGGGACUGAGACACGGCCCAAACUCCUACGAGAGGCAGCAGUAGGGAAUCUUCCACAAUGGGCGAAAGCCUGAUGGAGCAACGCCGCGUGGGUGAAGAAGGUCUUCGGAUCGUAAAACCCUGUUGUUAGAGAAGAAAGUGCGUGAGAGUAACUGUUCACGUUUCGACGGUAUCUAACCAGAAAGCCACUGCUAACUACGUG
RNAcentral lists this ribosomal RNA (512 nucleotides) under uncultured bacterium. RNAcentral's name for it is "partial 16S ribosomal RNA". It matches the Rfam family "Bacterial small subunit ribosomal RNA", at positions 28 to 507 of the family's 1533-position model. The record is from RNAcentral.